UACGUAGGGGGCAAGCGUUGUCCGGAAUCAUUGGGCGUAAAGAGCGCGUAGGCGGCCCAGUCAGUCCGCUGUGAAAGUCCGGGGCUCAACCUCGGAUCGGCCGUGGCGACUCGUGGGCUGGAGCACUGUAGAGGCGGGUGGAAUUCCGGGUGUAGCGGUGGAAUGCGUAGAGAUCCGGAAGAACACCAGUGGCGAAGGCGGCCCGCUGGGCAGUGGCUGACGCUGAGGCGCGACAGCGUGGGGAGCAAACAGG
This 253-nucleotide ribosomal RNA is filed under the name uncultured bacterium. RNAcentral describes it as "partial 16S ribosomal RNA". It matches the Rfam family "Bacterial small subunit ribosomal RNA", at positions 524 to 776 of the family's 1533-position model. The record is from RNAcentral.